UACUCCUACGGGAGGCAGCAGUGGGGAAUUUUGGACAAUGGGCGCAAGCCUGAUCCAGCCAUGCCGCGUGUGUGAAGAAGGCCUUAUGGUUGUAAAGCACUUUAAGCGAGGAGGAGGCUACUUUAGUUAAUACGCAGACAUAGUGUCCAGAGCCGCGAGCAGCUAGC
Molecule: ribosomal RNA, 167 nt
Filed under: uncultured bacterium
Lineage: Bacteria
Description: partial 16S ribosomal RNA
Rfam family: Bacterial small subunit ribosomal RNA
Source: RNAcentral